GGAGGGGUGCGAGCGUUGUCCGGAAUCACUGGGCGUAAAGGGCGCGUAGGGCGGCGCAGUAAGUAGGGGGGGGGUGAAAUCUCACGGCUCAACCGUGAAACGGCCUCCUAAACUGCUGUGCUUGAGCACGGUAGAGGCAGAUGGAAUUCCCGGUGUAGCGGUGGAAUGCGUAGAUAUCGGGAAGAACACCAGUGGCGAAGGCGGUCUGCUGGGCCGUUGCUGACGCUGAGGCGCGACAGCGUGGGGAGCAAACAGGAUUAGAUACCCUGGUAGUCCACGCCGUAAACGAUGGGUACUAGGCGUCGGGGGGAGCGACCCCUUCGGUGCCGUCGCUAACGCAGUAAGUACCCCGCCUGGGGAGUACGGCCGCAAGGCUG
This 377-nucleotide ribosomal RNA is filed under the name uncultured organism. RNAcentral's name for it is "partial 16S ribosomal RNA". It matches the Rfam family "Bacterial small subunit ribosomal RNA", at positions 526 to 896 of the family's 1533-position model. The record is from RNAcentral.